Octopus sinensis (East Asian common octopus) is the source of this 533-nucleotide long non-coding RNA. RefSeq lists it as uncharacterized. Lineage: Eukaryota; Metazoa; Mollusca; Cephalopoda; Octopoda; Octopodidae. The record is from RefSeq and is a predicted model, not a curated record. The transcript is spliced from 2 exons.
CCUCACUGCUUAACCUUGAAAAUGUUACAGAAGAUAUUGGUUUUUUUUUUUCCACUUCAUGAGCUUAUUGUAACCAAGUUUUACCAACAUACAUAUUGCAAUGUUAGUUUGCAAUUUUCUAUGGAAACAUGUGAGGGUUACAGACAGGAACAACAUAUGGUUGUUGAAAUUCUCCCUCAACGGUUCAUGUUUAACCCAUGCAAGAACACUGGAGAAGUAUACACUAAAAUGAUAAACUGGCUCCUAUGUUUAAUGCCUUAAAAACUGAAUUUAUUUGCUUAAAAUAAGGAGAGUUCAAUAAAUACAAUGAAACAAAAUCCUUUAAGGUCUGUAAACUCCUUCAUAUUUUCAGAAAAUAAUACUGCAUCUACAGAAAAGAAUGUAGCAGUUUGUCUUGCAAAAACAUUGGCUGUUGUGGAUCUAGAAUUAAACUAAGUCGAUCAAGUGUUGGUUCUUGUUAUUUGACAGCUUAGUGAUAUUGAUGACAGAGCACGGUAGCUUGCAGUAUUUUUUGAAGUGGUGCAUGGAGGGCA